AACCUGGUUGAUCCUGCCAGUAGUCAUAUGCUUGUCUCAAAGAUUAAGCCAUGCAUGUCUCAGUAUAAGCUUCUAUAUGGCGAAACUGCGAAUGGCUCAUUAAAACAGUUAUAGUUUAUUUGGUGGUCAACUUCUACAUGGAUAACCGUGGUAAUUCUAGAGCUAAUACAUGCGCCCAAACCCAACUUCUUGGAAGGGUUGUGUUUAUUAGAUACAGAACCAACCCAGGCUCCGCCUGGCCUUGAGGUGAUUCAUAAUAACCGAACGAAUCGCAUGGCUCCGCCGGCGAUAGACCAUUCAAGUUUCUGACCUAUCAGCUAUCGUCGGUAGGGUAUUGGCCUACCGUGGCAAUGACGGGUAACGGAGAAUUAGGGUUCGAUUCCGGAGAGGGAGCCUGAGAAACGGCUACCACAUCUAAGGAAGGCAGCAGACGCGCAAAUUACCCAAUCCUGACGCAGGGAGGUAGUGACAAGAAAUAACAGUACAGGGCAUAUCUGUCUUGUAAUUGGAAUGAGUAAACUUUAAAUCACUUUGCGAGUAUCAAUUGGAGGGCAAGUCUGGUGCCAGCAGCCGCGGUAAUUCCAGCUCCAAUAGC
RNAcentral lists this ribosomal RNA (595 nucleotides) under uncultured marine eukaryote. Its description in RNAcentral is "SSU rRNA". It matches the Rfam family "Eukaryotic small subunit ribosomal RNA", at positions 1 to 598 of the family's 1831-position model. The record is from RNAcentral.